CAUACCAAUAGAAGCGUCUUGGCAAGA
This 27-nucleotide small RNA is filed under the name Bombyx mori (domestic silkworm). RNAcentral's name for it is "ovarian small RNA-13390". Lineage: Eukaryota; Metazoa; Arthropoda; Insecta; Lepidoptera; Bombycidae. The record is from RNAcentral.